AGCAAAUACCACUCGGUCAUCACUUGAUUGUUUAGGCUACACUCACCCCAACAAUGUGUCUGUGUUUAUAGGUUGUUUGAUGCUUCUGACCUUCCUCCACAAUACCAGCAAAGAUUUUUGUCAUUUCACAAGUUCCAUGUUGGACUAAUGUCUGAACACUCAGCCGUUCGUCUUUGGCUCCAACACGAGACAUACUUGGCUGAAGUGUUUACCCCGGGUGUGGUCCUCAGCCUUGUGUUUAUGCUGCUCGGGGUGAUGCUUGACGCCAGACAUCGACACCACAUCCAAACAAUGGGCUGUGUCUCUGUUCGCCUCUCCUCAGCAGAUUCACUCCUCAGGAACACAACAGCUUUUUCCCCUCCGUUAUCCCAUCAGCACUAUUCCUGAGGGCUGAUUGGUCACUCCUUAUCUGCGAGUGAAUAAACGGAGAGAGGUGUUCUCUCCUCCGACUGUCUUA
Molecule: long non-coding RNA, 457 nt
Organism: Acanthopagrus latus (yellowfin seabream)
Lineage: Eukaryota; Metazoa; Chordata; Actinopteri; Spariformes; Sparidae
Exons: 3
Source: RefSeq, a predicted model, not a curated record